AGCGAACGUUAGCGGCGCGCUUAACACAUGCAAGUCGCACGAGAAAGGGCUUCGGCCCCGGUAAAGUGGCGCACGGGUGCGUAACACGUAGGCAAUCUUCCCUUGAGCGGGGGAUAACGUUUCGAAAGAGACGCUAAUACCGCAUAAGACCACGACGAGUUCGCUCGUUGCGGUCAAAGCUGGCCUCUUCAUGAAAGCUAGCACUCAAGGACGAGCCUGCGGCCCAUCAUGCUAGUUGGUAGGGUAAUGGCCUACCAAGGCGAAGACGGGUAGCUGGUCUGAGAGGAUGAUCAGCCACACUGGAACUGAAACACGGUCCAGACUCCUACGGGAGGCAGCAGUGGGGAAUAUUGGACAAUGGGCGAAAGCCUGAUCCAGCGACGCCGCGUGAGUGGUGAAGGCCUUCGGGUUGUAAAGCUCUGUUGAGGGAGAAGAAAACAGUUAGAGCGAAUAGGUCUAACUCUUGACGGUAUCCCUUUAGAAAGCACCGGCUAACUCUGUGCCAGCAGCCGCCGUAA
This 518-nucleotide ribosomal RNA is filed under the name uncultured bacterium. RNAcentral describes it as "partial 16S ribosomal RNA". It matches the Rfam family "Bacterial small subunit ribosomal RNA", at positions 29 to 523 of the family's 1533-position model. The record is from RNAcentral.